Molecule: ribosomal RNA, 490 nt
Filed under: uncultured bacterium
Lineage: Bacteria
Description: partial 16S ribosomal RNA
Rfam family: Bacterial small subunit ribosomal RNA
Source: RNAcentral
AUUGAACGCUGGCGGCAGGCCUAACACAUGCAAGUCGAACGGUAACAGGAAACAGCUUGCUGUUUCGCUGACGAGUGGCGGACGGGUGAGUAAUGUCUGGGAAACUGCCUGAUGGAGGGGGAUAACUACUGGAAACGGUAGCUAAUACCGCAUAACGUCGCAAGACCAAAGAGGGGGACCUUCGGGCCUCUUGCCAUCGGAUGUGCCCAGAUGGGAUUAGCUAGUAGGUGGGGUAACGGCUCACCUAGGCGACGAUCCCUAGCUGGUCUGAGAGGAUGACCAGCCACACUGGAACUGAGACACGGUCCAGACUCCUACGGGAGGCAGCAGUGGGGAAUAUUGCACAAUGGGCGCAAGCCUGAUGCAGCCAUGCCGCGUGUAUGAAGAAGGCCUUCGGGUUGUAAAGUACUUUCAGCGGGGAUGAAGGGAGUAAAGUUAAUACCUUGGCUCAUUGACGUUACCCGCAGAAGGAGCACCGGCUAACUCCGUG